AGUGCUGAAGCUGGAAUUAGGCCUUCCUACCUGGCCGCAAGCAGCAGACACCAUGUGGGGUCUCGUCCGUACAAAUGUAUAGCUUGGAAGAGCAGGCAGGAUCCUGUGCUCCUCAGGCAGGCUGGGUCCAGGGGCAGAGGGAAGGAGUAGAUUGCUGAGUUAUGCAGGCCAGCUCCUUCCCUGAACCUAUAACACAGGUUACUUCUUUGCCCAUGGCAAAGGGUAAGUGAGGAGGUAGACAGAAGCUAGAAAUGUUACAUUAAUGGUGUUCCCUGCAUGUAGGAGGAAAUAUCAGAAGUUGGGAACAAAUGUUUCCUGUUAGUUUACCUCAGUUUUUGAUUCCCUAACCCACUGGGCUUGACCAUUAAGCCUACAGUCAGUAUAGGCUGACCCCUAGGGGGAUGAACAGUCCUUGGGGGAAGCUCUGCUCUCAUUUUUAAGACCACCUUCCCAAAAACAAUGUUUGCUUUUUCUGAAUCUUCCUUGAAGCCCUUGAUGGUGCCGUAGACUUGACCCCAGGAGGUGGCCGUGUGUUUCGGAGGGGGGUGUCCUGAGAUGAAGGGACCGGGACCCUGCACAGACCCUCGCCCUCAUAAUGAUGUUCUAUGACAAGAACCAGUGACCAUUUUUUUACACUGUUGAGCUACUGCAAUUUCAGGGUUCAUUUGUGAUGUUGGCAUUACUUAACCUAUCUUGAUGAGCAAUGUGAAUUGUGCCUGCUAGGAUUAUGCAACUUGAUGGCCCUGAGAGAUGUUCCAAUAACCGUCUGCUAACAAAAUGGAGAUGUCCCUGUGAUGUGGUUUGACUGUGUCCCCACCCAAAUCUUAUCUUGAAUUAUAG
RNAcentral lists this long non-coding RNA (840 nucleotides) under Homo sapiens (human). Its description in RNAcentral is "HSALNT0027501". Lineage: Eukaryota; Metazoa; Chordata; Mammalia; Primates; Hominidae. The record is from RNAcentral.